GGGAGUAUUUUUUUUCUUUUCCAUUCACGAAAAAUCGCAACUACUAUUAUUCUUAAUCGAAUAAGUCCUAAGCUAUUUAUGACAUUCGUGUAAUUUGUAGGUUAUAUGGAGUAACUUUUUUUUUUUUGAAACGAAACGAGUUAUGUGGAGUAACUUAUUACAAUAUUAUUUGGAUAAUGUUCCCAUUUUACUUUAGGUUGACCUUCUAUAUCAUAUUUUUGAUCGAGUCCAAGCUAAUAUUUAUAUCAUCUUUUUUAUCUUUAAAAAUAUUUGAGAAGUCCUAACUGCAAAAGUUAAAAAGAUUUUAUAUGUAUUUAUUAGUAGUUUAU
Molecule: long non-coding RNA, 329 nt
Filed under: Salvia miltiorrhiza (redroot sage)
Lineage: Eukaryota; Viridiplantae; Streptophyta; Magnoliopsida; Lamiales; Lamiaceae
Description: long non-coding RNA (SMIL_LNC004165)
Source: RNAcentral